RNAcentral lists this ribosomal RNA (459 nucleotides) under uncultured bacterium. RNAcentral's name for it is "partial 16S ribosomal RNA". It matches the Rfam family "Bacterial small subunit ribosomal RNA", at positions 338 to 795 of the family's 1533-position model. The record is from RNAcentral.
CCUACGAGAUGCAGCAGUGAGGAAUAUUGGUCAAUGGGCGCGAGCCUGAACCCGCCAAGUCGCGUGAGGGAAGACGGUCCUAUGGAUUGUAAACCUCUUUUGUCGGGGAGCAAAAGACGCCACGCGUGGCGUUCCGAGCGUACCCGAAGAACAAGCAUCGGCUAACUCCGUGCCAGCAGCCGCGGUAAUACGGAGGAUGCGAGCGUUAUCCGGAUUUAUUGGGUUUAAAGGGUGCGCAGGCGGACGAUCAAGUCAGCGGUAAAAUUGAGAGGCUCAACCUCUUCGAGCCGUUGAAACUGGUGUUCUUGAGUGAGUGAGAAGUAUGCGGAAUGCGUGGUGUAGAGGUGAAAUGCAUAGAUAUCACGCAGAACUCCGAUUGCGAAGGCAGCAUACCGGCGCUCAACUGACGCUCAUGCACGAAAGUGUGGGUAUCGAACAGGAUUAGAUACCCUGGUAGUC